AAUAGAUACCCGGGUAGUCCUGGCCGUAAACGAUGACCACUAGAUGUGUGGGGUAUCGACCCCCUACGUGUCGUAAGCCAACGCGAUAAGUGGUCCGCCUGGGGAGUACGGUCGCAAGAUUAAAACUCAAAGGAAUUGACGGGGACCCGCACAAGCAGCGGAGCGUGUGGUUUAAUUCGAUGCAACGCGAAGAACCUUACCAGGAUUUGACAUGCUUUCGCACCGCCCGUAACGGGGCGUGCCCGCAAGGGACGGAAGCACAGGUGCUGCAUGGCUGUCGUCAGCUCGUGUCGUGAGAUGUUGGGUUAAGUCCCGCAACGAGCGCAACCCUUAUCAAUAGUUGCCAGCGGUUCGGCCGGGCACUCUAUUGAGACUGCCGUUGACAAAACAGAGGAAGGUGGGGAUGACGUCAAGUCCUCAUGGCCUUUAUGUCCAGGGCUACACACGUGCUACAAUGGCAAGUACAAAGCGCUGCAAACCUGCAAGGGGGAGCCAAUCGCAAAAAGCUUGUCUCAGUUCGGA
RNAcentral lists this ribosomal RNA (522 nucleotides) under uncultured bacterium. RNAcentral's name for it is "bacterial SSU rRNA". It matches the Rfam family "Bacterial small subunit ribosomal RNA", at positions 777 to 1297 of the family's 1533-position model. The record is from RNAcentral.